RNAcentral lists this ribosomal RNA (824 nucleotides) under uncultured bacterium. Its description in RNAcentral is "bacterial SSU rRNA". It matches the Rfam family "Bacterial small subunit ribosomal RNA", at positions 626 to 1451 of the family's 1533-position model. The record is from RNAcentral.
UUNUGAACUGGGUGACUAGAGUGUNUCAGAGGGAGGUAGAAUUCCACGUGUAGCAGUGAAAUGCGUAGAGAUGUGGAGGAAUACCGAUGGCGAAGGCAGCCUCCUGGGAUAACACUGACGUUCAUGCUNGAAAGCGUGGGUAGCAAACAGGAUUAGAUACCCUGGUAGUCCACGCCCUAAACGAUGUCAAUUAGCUGUUGGGCAACUUGAUUGCUUAGUAGCGUAGCUAACGCGUGAAAUUGACCGCCUGGGGAGUACGGUCGCAAGAUUAAAACUCAAAGGAAUUGACGGGGACCCGCACAAGCGGUGGAUGAUGUGGAUUAAUUCGAUGCAACGCGAAGAACCUUACCUGGUCUUGACAUGUACGGAAUCCUCCAGAGACGGAGGAGUGCCUUCGGGAGCCGUAACACAGGUGCUGCAUGGCUGUCGUCAGCUCGUGUCGUGAGAUGUUGGGUUAAGUCCCGCAACGAGCGCAACCCUUGUCAUUAGUUGCCAUCAUUUAGUUGGGCACUCUAAUGAGACUGCCGGUGACAAGCCGGAGGAAGGUGGGGAUGACGUCAAGUCCUCAUGGCCCUUAUGACCAGGGCUUCACACGUCAUACAAUGGUCGGUACAGAGGGUAGCCAAGCCGCGAGGUGGAGCCAAUCUCACAAAACCGAUCGUAGUCCGGAUUGCACUCUGCAACUCGAGUGCAUGAAGUCGGAAUCGCUAGUAAUCGCAGGUCAGCAUACUGCGGUGAAUACGUUCCCGGGUCUUGUACACACCGCCCGUCACACCAUGGGUGUGGGGGAUACCAGAAGUAGGUAGGGUAACCGCAAGGAGCCC